GAAUGUUUAAGACUAAGUAUAUUAUUUCAUAUCACAAAAGCAAUCUCAACUAAAUUGUAUGUAAACAAGAUUUCAAACUUCAAAUUUACAUACAGGUAUCAACAAAUUUAAUCAGAGUUCUUGAAAAGUAGAGGUACAAAGGUUUUGAUGACCAAAUUUUGGAAGGACACACAGUUUGGGUAUUUUGCAAUAGAAAUAAAAGUGACCAGCAGAAUUCUUCAAGGACCACCAGGGGUAAAAAAGGGUUCCAAGAGCUCUAAUUAAAUUAGAUAACAUAUUAAAAGAUAAGCACAAAACACAAGUUGAAUCUAAAAUAUAUCAUUCAUUUUAACAAUGGAUUUAAAUUGUUUCGCAAAUUUCCUGUUUGCCAAGGUCGGAUUUAUUGAAAGGACAAGUUGCAGUUUGCAUUUUUUUUCUCUAAAGCUUAACUACUUCAUGUACAAAGAUAAUGGAGAAAGUAAAUAUUUUCUAAUUUGAUAAAUCCCAUACUGUCCAAUGGUACUGCUUUAUAUAAAUUGUCUGAAAUCCUUAACUACCGUUGGGUCUGAUAAAUAUAAAAAAAAAGAAGAUUUGGUAUGAUUGCCAUUGAGACAAAUGUCCACAAGAGAUCAAAUGAACAGUAAUUAACAGCUAUCGGAAAGAAUAGGUCACCAUACAGCCUUCAACAAUGAGUAGAGCCCAUACUGUAAUUGGUACCAUUGAAAGUCUAUUUCAAGGGUGCCAAUUUUCAUGGAUGAGGGAAAAAAUGUAACUAUUUGAAGUAUAAUUGAUUUCAUGGAUUAGUCAAAGUUGGCAUAUAUUUGUUUAGGGGCCAGCUGAAGGACGCCUCCAUGUGCGGGAAUUUCUCGCUGCAUUGAAGACCUGUUGGUGACCUUCUGCUGUUUUCUUCUCUAUGGUCGGGUUGUUGUCUCUUUGACACAUUCCCCAUUUCCAUUCUCAAUUUUAUAACAACCUAUAGAAAGUUUGUACAAUAUUAAACAUUCAAAUUUGUAGUUCACCUUUACGCAUAAAAUCUACAAAACUUGGUAUCCAAAGUAGGACAGGACAACUGUAAACAUAAUGACAUAUCAAAAGAAAAUUCCACAACAUUAGCAAAAUUGGUCCGCCAUAAAUCAAAUAACUAACACAGUAAUCAAUACAAUAAUAUAAUGAAUAGACAUUUAGAUUCUUACAUUGAUAGGAGUGGAUUAUCGGAUUUAUCCAAUCGAGAUAGUUAAAUUAUCAAUUUAGCUCGGACUUAAAAA
This 1244-nucleotide long non-coding RNA is filed under the name Mytilus galloprovincialis (Mediterranean mussel). Lineage: Eukaryota; Metazoa; Mollusca; Bivalvia; Mytilida; Mytilidae. The record is from RNAcentral.